Molecule: long non-coding RNA, 5598 nt
Filed under: Salvia miltiorrhiza (redroot sage)
Lineage: Eukaryota; Viridiplantae; Streptophyta; Magnoliopsida; Lamiales; Lamiaceae
Description: long non-coding RNA (SMIL_LNC007577)
Source: RNAcentral
CGUAAAUGUAAUCUAUGCCGUGCUCCGGUAUGGUUUUGCAUACUCUGCAGCUUCCUUGGCGUAUAAAGUGAUUGCACCGUACCUUUUUGGCCAAUCGCCACCACGCCUAGAAACUGACUGCGGUCUUGACGUGCUCACCGUUGGAAUCGAUGAAUCCUGGAGGCACGUUGAGGUUCACCACCUCCCCGACCAUUUCAGGCCAUUUUUGUUCUUCAUGGAUCCCUUGACUAGUGAAGGUUUCGUGCAUUGGGGAAGGGGGAGAUACUGCGCGACGAUGGAUGUGGAGACGGAGAUCAUUACACUGAGUGAAGCCCCUCAUCAGUACCAUGAAAACAACUAUAAAUAUCUGUCGACUGGGAGGUGUCUGUCUCUCCUGGUAGCGUGUGGGGAUCUGUCGUGGGAGGUUUGGGAGAUGAAGGCAGAGACGGGCGAGUGGAGGAAGGCGCUGCCCAACGUCGACUUGGGAGCUAAGAAAUGCAUGAUUCAACAGCUUGCUCCUAAAGAUGCUCCUCGAGUUCUUGUGCCACUUGGUUGGGUUAACUAUCCACAGGUUUUGGCCUUCUAUUUUGGCGAAGAUAUUUAUCAUGGGUGCCAAUGGCGGCCUUUCAUUUUCUACAAUCUUGAUACGCAUAAACUCUACUCCAUAGAGCUUCCACAAUCCAAUAUUAGUGAGUAUGGGGCUUUUCCGCAUAAGAAUAAUCUGACAUGGCUAAGCUAAAAGAGUAUUAUUGUUUAUAUUUGGUUUAAGUUAAAAGAAUUUAUAUAUUUUGGGGCAAUUUUAAAAAAUAUUUUAUGAUGUUUAUUUCUUCAAGACGCAUCAGCUCAUGUUGUCCAAAUAUUUUAUUUUAGUGAAAGAGUAGUAGUGUUGAAGGAGAUAGAAUAUUUAUAAUCACUUUUGAAUGGACACCUAUAACAAUCACAUUGCUAUUGGAUUACAAAUCAGCGUAUAUUCUGUUUGAGAAUAUUUUGAAUGAAAUUAUGUAAUACAAGCUCAAAAGUAAGGUAAAGUCAUUUUUGCAAUAACUCGUAUACACUACCCAUUGUCAAACACGCCAAAAAUGGGGUUAGAUCCAUCUGCUACAAAAUCUUAGGCAACGUGGUUUUGUUCGCAAAUUAGGCAAACAAGUAAUUUCUUUGUACAAUACAUUAUUCAUUUUAGACUUAGUGCAUGUUUGGUUCAAGUAGAGGAAUUGAAAGAGAAUGGAAUCAAAUAGAGGAGUGGAAUGGUUUUAAUAACUAUUACUUUUAUUGAGUGUUUGGUUUAACCAUGGAAAUGAAUCAUUAGUAAGGGAUUCCCUUUCCUUUUGUUUUCCCUCUAUUUUGAGGGAUAAUAAAUUAGGUGAUUGGGUUACCCUCAAGUCAGGGUAAUGGUUAACUCAUCACCCAAACCAAACAUUGAGUAAUGGAUUCAAUUAAUUGAUUCCCUUUCCAAUCUCUAAAAACACCCAACCAAACGUGGGCUAAUAGUGCUAUGCUAUGUAUGUAGAUCCAUAUGUUGUUGCUAGGAAGCACCGGUACGUUUUUGGGUGAAGCGUCCUGGUAUUAAUACCAAAAAAUACCAAGACGUUAAAAAUACGCCUAAACGAUGUAUUUAAUACGUUUUUUCGUAUUUUUUUUAAACUUACUUUUAGGGUUGGGAAAUGCGUAUUUAAUACGUUCUCGAGACGUUUUUUGACUAAAAAAUACGUCUGACCAGAUUUAAAAAAAAAAGAAAAAAAAAGAAAAAAAGAAGAAAACCAGACCCACUCUCAUUUCUCUCGUAAACCUUCACCCACCCUGCGCAAGAAGACAAGGCAGCGCCGUUCUCCGCCACCGAUCUGGACCGCCGCCUUCUGGACUGCCGUAAUUGCUAAGAUUAUCUAAUUUUUGUGGGUAUUUAACGUAAGACAUCAGUGGGUAUUUUUUGGAAUUGAAUCUUUGAUUUGUGUGAGGUAGGGUGAGUGGGUUAACUAAUACUCCCUCCGUCCCAUUGGGCUUGUCCUAUUUGGUUUCGGCACGGUUAUUAAGGAGAGUAGUAGUAGUGUUAAGUGUGUAGAUAAAGUAGGAGAGAGAAGGUGAUAAAGUAGGAGAGAGAAAGUGAUAAAGUGAUAAAGUAUGAGUGUUAUUUAUAGAAAUGAGACAAGAUGGUGGGACAAACAAAAAAGAAAUACGGGACAAGAUCAAUGGGACGGAGGGGGUAAUUGAUUGUUUAUUGCUAUUGGGGUAUAUUGGCGGUGGGUAUGGGUGAGUGGGUUAAUUAAUAAUUGAUUGUUUAUUGCUAUUGGGGUAUAUUGGCGGUGGGUAUAUUAAUAUUGGGGUGGGUAGCAGAUUGCCUAAUUAGGCUAAUUUGUGAACUAACUUCUAAGUUUUAAUAAUUAAGUACUCCCUCCGUCCCAUUAUUCAUGACACGUAUUCCUUUUUGGGUUGUCCCAACCUACAUGACACAUUUCCUUUUUUGGAAAAAAUCAGGGGGCAUUUAAGCAUUAAUAUAUUCGCUAAUUAUCCACCUAAUCACUAAUUAUCCACCUAAAACUCAUUUCCUACUUCUUCUUCUCUCUCUCCUUCCCCCACCUACCAGCCGCCUCCCUUCUCUUCUAAAAUUCUCGGCCACCACCGCCCGUCGAUCUGCCGGCCACCACCGUCAUUUCCUCUCUUCCUCUAUUCUCAGUUUCUCACGCACCCACUCAACCAGUGAACCCAAAUCCUAAGUCUUCGCUCGUCGCCUCCACUUUUCUCUCUCCGUUGAAGAGCGCCGCCGCCGGCUUCGCUCUCCCCUCUCUCGCCAAAUUUUUCCGCUCGAUUCCCGGUGACGACAGCCAACCUCCGCCGCGCCCAAGCCCCUGCCUCCCUCUCUGAUCACUCCAUCGUGCCUCCUCCGUCGUCGACGAAAUCUUCAGCCCCACCGCCAGGAGACGCAGCAGCGGCGCGGUCCGCCUCCACCCUCGGCGUAGCCCCUUUCCGCCUCCACUCUAGUUUCUGGAUUAUCAAUUUUUGUCUUCAAUACUUGGGUUUCAAUGUUUGUGGGUAGAUCUGGUUUUGAUAUUUGUUUCGAUUUUGAUAUGGUGAUUGGGUUACUCGGUAUCAAGGAAACUCAUGACUACACGAUGUAUUUAAGUCAUUUCACGUUAAUUUUACCAAAGAAGAAUUUAUAGUUUGAGAAUGCUUCCCAAGGAAGGUUCAACUUCAAGCACUCACACCCUCCACCGUCAGGUGUUGUUUGGCUUGACGUAGCUAUCAAAUUGAGAUGUUGAUGUUGAGGUCAAUUGUGAAUUCUAAACAAGGCUACUAUUGUUGCUCAAUAUGGAAGGUAUCAAAUUUCGUUCUAUUUUAUGCUAAUGUUAUUCGAAAGAUGGAAAUUUUAGAGUUGUGUUUUGAUUUAUUCCAUUAAAAUUUUAGAGUUAAUUUAUUUAAAUUUUAUAAAUAAUUCAUCAAAGUCGGCAUUAAUUUGACCACCAAAAAAUUUGUGUUAAAAUUAUUCUGUUAAAAAAGUUAAUGUAUUUUUUUGUCGUAUUAAAAAUUAAAAUUCUUCCAAAGUUUAUAUCCGCCAAUUAAAAAGAAAGAAAAAAAAAGUUCGCUUGUAUUUACAUUUGGAUUUGGGCGGAAACUGCUGCAUUUAUUUGGACCCACACCCACCGCUUGUAAUAAUUCAUUUACUCCGCCGCCGCGUUCUACACAAUUCACCGGAAAUCGAAAAGUUGAAAUGCUUCGUCCGAAACUAGCCUCCCGCAAGCCGCCACCUCCACGGCGUUGCUGCACCGACGGCAGCGUUUCGGAUCCCCAUUCCGACAUUCUUAGUAGAGAUUCGGUAAGCACUCUCCCUUAUAUUUCAUAUGCAGAUGCCUCUCUUUCAAAAUUAGGUUACACCUCAAAUUCCUUAAUUAUGCGUAUACAUUUCAUAGAAAAGGUUUUUUUAUUUGAAAUUUAGGUUAGAGAUUAGUAUAAAAAGACAUUGAUAUGCAUAUGGCUGUCUUAUUCUCUGCAUUUAAGUUUUGGACAGAUAAAACACAUUUAUACAAAUUAGUGAAUUGGUUAGUCGAUUGAUUAGUAGAGUGAUGAUGUUGUACCAAAACAAAAAUUUGUUUAAUAGCCGUCUUACUCUCUGCAUUUCAAAUAUUUAGCUUAAAUUUGGGGCAGAUAAAACACUUGUAUACAAAUUAGUGAAUUGGUUAGUCGAUUGAUUAGUAGAUGAGACAUAUUUGCAGAUGAGACAUAUUUAUGACAAUAUCUGUAUUCAACAAGCAGAUGAUAUACAUUAGAAGUCGGGCUUAUUAUUCCCGGAGGUGUAAAAAGGGGAUGCCAACAAACAUAGAGUCCCUCCCCACAGAGCUAUUGAUUGAAAUCCUCCUCCGAUUGCCGGCCGGUCAUCUCUACGAGAGAGCGAGGCUCGUCUGCCGGCGGUGGUACCACAUUAUCCAUUCUCAUGCCUUCAUCAACACGCAGAUUCACGGUGCUACCUAUGGCCUCCUUUUAUCACCCCCAAACUGGAUUAUUACUCUGCCACUUUAUGUAACAGCCGACGCAGACGGUGGAAUUCACACAGCUAAGAUAACUCACCUCUCCAAAUCGAGAGUUGUUGCUACCUGCAACGGUUUGGAGUUGGAAGCCAAAGGUUACCAAUUCCCUCGUCUUGUGAUUGUGAAUCCUGCAACGAAGCAGUCAUUCCACCUCCCACCAUUGCCUACAGGCGUAAAUGUAAUCUAUGCCGUGCUCCGGUAUGGUUUUGCAUAUUCUGCAGCUUCCUUGGCGUAUAAAGUGAUUGCACCGUACCUAGAAACUGACUACGGUCUUGACGUGCUCACCGUUGGAAUCGAUGAAUCCUGGAGGAACGUUGAGGUUCACCACCUCCCCGACCAUUUCAGGCCAUUUUUGUUCUAUAGGGAUCCCUUGACUAGUGAAGGUUUCGUGCACUGGGGAAGGGGGAGGUACUGUGUGACGAUGGAUGUGGAGACGGAGAUCAUUACACUGAGUGAAGCCCCUUGUGAGUACCAUGAACGCGACUAUUAUUAUCUGUCAACUGGGAGGUGUCUGUCUCUCCUGGUAGCGUGUGGGGAUCUGUCGUGGGAGGUUUGGGAGAUGAAGGCAGAGACGGGCGAGUGGAGGAAGGCGCUGCCCAACGUCGACUUGGGAGCUCAGAAAUGCAGGAUUCAACGUUUAGCUCCUAAAGAUGCUCCUCGAGUUCUUGUGCCACUUGGUUGGGUUAACUAUCCACAGGUUUUGGCCUUCUAUUUUGGCGAAGAUAUUUAUCAUGGGUGCCAAUGGCGGCCUUUCAUUUUCUACAAUCUUGAUACGCAUAAACUCCACUACAUAGAGCUUCCACAAUCCAAUACUAGUGAGUAUGAGGCUUUUCCGCAUAAGAAUAAUCUGAUAUGGCUAAGCUAAAAGAGUAUUAUUGUUAGUAUUAUUGUUUAUAUUUGGUUUAAGUUAAAAGAACUUAUAUAUUUUGGGGCAAUUUUAAAAAAUAUUUUAUGAUGUUUAUUUCUUCAAGACGCAUCAGCUCAUGUUGUCCGAAUAUUUUAUUUUAGUGAAAAGAGUAGUAGUAUUGAAGGUGAUAGAACAUUUAUAAUCACUUUUGAAUGGACACCUAUAACAAUCACAUUGCUAUUGGAUUACAAAUCAGCG